This is a long non-coding RNA of Daphnia carinata, 352 nucleotides long. RefSeq lists it as uncharacterized. Lineage: Eukaryota; Metazoa; Arthropoda; Branchiopoda; Diplostraca; Daphniidae. The transcript is spliced from 3 exons. The record is from RefSeq and is a predicted model, not a curated record.
AUGAAAUUUACCGUGAGGUCGCCGACAUCCAUUUACCACCAGGAAUGGGGAUCGAUCUUUGCUGUCAAUGACGUCGUACAAACGCAUGAUGUAUUUUAAACACCAUAUGUAAUCUUGGGUAGCUCUAACAAUGGAGGCUAGUGAAAAAGAGUUCAACCUGACCCGGAGGUUUUCUGUCCUGCAUGUCAGAGGUUUUUCUAGAACGGAACCUUCCCACACUAAGGUUGUUUGUCAUGUAUUAUAGGACAUGCAUGAAAAUUGAGUGUUAUGCAAGAUAAGUCAUUAAUAGUAUUAAACUUCUUUAAUCUUUCCUGUUCUGUGUGUGACAAUUUCUCAAUUAUCUCAACAAAAA